GAUGAACGCUGUCUACAGGCUUAACACAUGCAAGUCGAGGGGAAACGACGGGGAAGCUUGCUUCCCCGGGCGUCGACCGGCGCACGGGUGAGUAACGCGUAUCCAACCUGCCUCUGACUGAGGGAUAACCCGUCGAAAGUCGGCCUAAUACCUCAUGGCAUCGUCUGCGGGCAUCCAACGACGAUUAAAGAUUUCAUCGGUCAGGGAUGGGGAUGCGUCUGAUUAGCUUGUUGGCGGUGUAACGGCCCACCAAGGCUACGAUCAGUAGGGGUUCUGAGAGGAAGGUCCCCCACAUUGGAACUGAGACACGGUCCAAACUCCUACGGGAGGCAGCAGUGAGGAAUAUUGGUCAAUGGGCGGGAGCCUGAACCAGCCAAGUAGCGUGCAGGAUGACGGCCCUAUGGGUUGUAAACUGCUUUUAUGCGGGGAUAAAGUGAGGGACGUGUCCUUCAUUGCAGGUACCGCAUGAAUAAGGACCGGCUAAUUCCGUG
RNAcentral lists this ribosomal RNA (491 nucleotides) under uncultured bacterium. Its description in RNAcentral is "partial 16S ribosomal RNA". It matches the Rfam family "Bacterial small subunit ribosomal RNA", at positions 28 to 507 of the family's 1533-position model. The record is from RNAcentral.